Molecule: non-coding RNA, 351 nt
Organism: Anolis sagrei ordinatus
Lineage: Eukaryota; Metazoa; Chordata; Lepidosauria; Squamata; Anolidae
Source: RefSeq, a predicted model, not a curated record
UCUAAUUCUGUAUUCCAAAGAAAGCAAGGAAAGGAGAAGGGAAAUAGAGGCCCUUACCUGGCGAGGAAGAGGGCAACGUUCCUUAGGAGCGAAAGAGAGACCAGCAGAAGGCAAUCCAGGUUCUUGCACGAACAGCAUCUGUGGACAUUCAACCUUGGACAAUUUUGUGGCUGACCACAACCAUGCAAAAUGAGGACAGAGAGAUGUACAAAAUACAUGAAAAAGUAUGCAAGGCACACGAGGAUCGCUUCUGCAAAUCCUUAGCCAAGGCUCUCCAUGAUGUUGAGCUGCCAAAGACGAUUGGGCUUUACGUACCAUUGGGAUACUGUAAAAAAGAAUUAUUGAACAACG